Long non-coding RNA from Homo sapiens (human), 3184 nucleotides. NCBI's taxonomy places the organism in Eukaryota, Metazoa, Chordata, Mammalia, Primates, Hominidae. The record is from Ensembl.
AGCCAUGGGCCCUGGUGCUACACGAUGGACCCAAGGACCCCAUUCGACUACUGUGCCCUGCGACGCUGCGCUGAUGACCAGCCGCCAUCAAUCCUGGACCCCCCCAGACCAGGUGCAGUUUGAGAAGUGUGGCAAGAGGGUGGAUCGGCUGGAUCAGCGUCGUUCCAAGCUGCGCGUGGCUGGGGGCCAUCCGGGCAACUCACCCUGGACAGUCAGCUUGCGGAAUCGGCAGGGCCAGCAUUUCUGCGCGGGGUCUCUAGUAAAGGAGCAGUGGAUACUGACUGCCCGGCAGUGCUUCUCCUCCUGCCAUAUGCCUCUCACGGGCUAUGAGGUAUGGUUGGGCACCCUGUUCCAGAACCCACAACAUGGAGAGCCAGGCCUACAGCGGGUCCCAGUAGCCAAGAUGCUGUGUGGGCCCUCAGGCUCCCAGCUUGUCCUGCUCAAGCUGGAGAGAUCUGUGACCCUGAACCAGCGUGUGGCCCUGAUCUGCCUGCCGCCUGAAUGGUAUGUGGUGCCUCCAGGGACCAAGUGUGAGAUUGCAGGCUGGGGUGAGACCAAAGGUACGGGUAAUGACACAGUCCUAAAUGUGGCCUUGCUGAACGUCAUCUCCAACCAGGAGUGUAACAUCAAGCACCGAGGACAUGUGCGGGAGAGCGAGAUGUGCACUGAGGGACUGUUGGCCCCUGUGGGGGCCUGUGAGGGUGACUACGGGGGCCCACUUGCCUGCUUUACCCACAACUGCUGGGUCCUGAAAGGAAUUAGAAUCCCCAACCGAGUAUGCACAAGGUCGCGCUGGCCAGCCGUCUUCACGCGUGUCUCUGUGUUUGUGGACUGGAUUCACAAGGUCAUGAGACUGGGUUAGGCCCAGCCUUGACGCCAUAUGCUUUGGGGAGGACAAAACUUGUAAGUACAGUCAAGGACAAGACUUGUACUCAAGGUUGAGAUUUAAUAAAAUUAAUAUUUUUACUACUUCACCAAGGACUUUCUUAAACGAAAAUGGUUUUUCCCCCUGCAAGUAAACAGUAAUGAAGAAGAGAAUUAUUCCUAGUGCAGUUUGUUUUCAUGGUCUUAAUUUUUGCUAAGACUCCACUGUUUUUGCCUUAUCAAUACAAGUGCCAACACAGUGAAAAGGCAAAUAUCAUCUUAGUAUUACUCUGAAAAUAGUUCUGAGCUAAUGGCCUACUGAAAGGAAAAGAGUGGCUCCUGCUAUUCUAUUAGACUUAUUACAAUUAUCUUAAGUAUUCUUUCUACCCUCCUUUAAUUGAAUGGAAACAGGGAUGGAUUGGAAGAGCUGUUUUUCUCCUUUCUUUCCCCCGGCAAUAUUUACCAUUUAAUGCCACUUACUAACACUCAAAGAAACAAAACCAAACUUCUCAAUUGACAGUGCAGUGACCCAACAAAGACACGGGUUCUUGAAUUCAAAGUGGAGCAGGAGAGACGGUAAAUACACAUUUACUUUAAUAUAUAUAUAUUUAUUAUUUAUGUGUUUAAAGCACAAAUUAGUUUGGUAAAAAACAUCUCAUGUCUGUUUUAUUUCCACAUCCCUGAGACUGACAAUGGGAUGCCUAUCAAUUAAUUCAUUUAGAGAGCCAUACACCACAAGAAACAAAUUAUUUGUCCUCUGGAGCUUGUCACAGGGGGAUUUUUAAAAAACCAUUAAACAGAAAGACAACUGUGCAUCUUAGAAAGAUAAAAGGCCAAUUCUUCCUCUCCGGCUGAUAGGUUCUUAAUAAUAGUGAUAUCUACUAAUAAGGUGUUUUACAUAGUGUAAAGCAUGUUCACAUACAAAUUACUUAGCCUCUUUGAGCCUCAGUUUUCUUAUAUGUAAAACUGGAUUAAUAGUACAUUUUGUGUUUAAAAAGAUAAUGUAUAUGAAGUGUUUACCAUUUUUGCUUGGCAUCUAGUUCAGUUCUCAGUAACUGAUGUGGUGGUGGUGGUGGUCAUAGUAGCAGUAAGAUCCGUAGUAAUAGUAGCAGCAGUUGUUUUAGAAAUUAGUAACUGAGGCCUGGCAAAGUUAAAGGCUCUUUCAUUAACACCCAGAGGGGAAGAAAUGAAGCUGGUCUUCAGAGGCAGGCUAUUUUCACUCUGUGUCCCAAAUUUUCCCCCCUAGACCGUUUUUAUACUUCUGGGGCCUCAGAAAAUAUUCUCAGCUAUUCUGUUAGCUUGAUCUCCUACCAUCUGAGAGUGGGCUUCCUUCAAACAACCAAAUUUCCAGGUAUUUCUAAACUGCCCUUCCCCUACACCAUUCUUUGGUUCAGUAUUUCAAGACCCCUAAGAGAAAUGGUACAUUUACAUGUAAGCACAGGAUAGUGAAGUAUUUACAACAAGUGCUUUGGAGCCAGCAAAUAUGAAUCAGAAUCCAGCUUUCCUUUCCUACAUACAUGACAUUGGGCAGCUAAUUUCUAAGAUUUUACUUCUUUAUCUAUGAAAGUGGAGUACUAGUACUUGCUCUGUGCAACUGUGAUGGUUGUUACAUGAGGUAGCAUCUAGAAGCAGCUUGCACAUUGCCAGACACCCAGUGGAAGGUCAAUGAAUGACUAUUUGAGGACUAACUAUUACAGAAAUGUUUACUCUUCUGAGUCCUGAUUUCUAGUCUCCUGGACUAAAUAGGUUCACUGUUUUCCUCCCGGUUCAGUUUCCAGACACAUCACAGAAUUAUAAGAAUAUUAAAAACUCAGGCUUAUACCUACACAGGAUUUUCUAUAACCCUCUUUCUGCUUUGAGCUCCUAAAGGUAUUUCAUAGAAAAAUGACCUUAUUUUUAAAUAGAGGGGGCAGUUGAAAAUCAGUGAACGGGCCUACCCCCUAAUGAUUUUUUUCUCAGACCUAAUUAUAAUAAUUAGCAUUAUAAAGUGCUAAUUAUCUUUGGACACAGAGGACCUGCACACCAGAGACAGAGGUCCGCAUUAAGUAAAGUGGAUUUCACUUUCUUCAGUUGUGAGAUUUCUCUUUUUUCUUCUUUGUAAUGAUGCAAAGAUAUAUCUUCCACCAAGCCUCAUUUAAAAGCUUUUUCCAGUUAAGGAAACUAUCUCUUGGCCAUCCACAGCCAGACUGCAUAUUGAGAUUAUGGAUAUUCAAAGAAAUUGUCUUUCCUUUGUAUAUUGUCAUAACUUUUUGUGAAAUGUUCGUUUUAUAGUUCCAGGCCAGCACCUAGAACCUGGCUAGAAUAAAAAACUGCAGAAAUC